CCUCCGGGCGCUCCGGUUUCCUCCCACAGUCCAAAGACAUGCAGCUUAGAUUGAUUGAAGACUCUAAAUUGUCCCUGUGAAGGUGUGUGUCUCUAUGCUUAUAUAUGCCACUGUUAAGGGUCCCCGGCACGGUGACAGCAAUAACAAAAGGAAUGGAAAAGGUAGAGUGUAUGAGCAAUGAUGACAGGAGUACGCAUGUCUUUAUCCAGAUUACUUUUAUUAAAUCUUUUGCAAGUCAUACAAAACACACAAUCAAAUA
Molecule: long non-coding RNA, 259 nt
Organism: Monopterus albus (swamp eel)
Lineage: Eukaryota; Metazoa; Chordata; Actinopteri; Synbranchiformes; Synbranchidae
Exons: 2
Source: RefSeq, a predicted model, not a curated record